RNAcentral lists this transfer RNA (75 nucleotides) under Euzebyales bacterium. RNAcentral describes it as "tRNA-Leu". It matches the Rfam family "tRNA". Rfam says of the family: Transfer RNA (tRNA) molecules are approximately 80 nucleotides in length. Their secondary structure includes four short double-helical elements and three loops (D, anti-codon, and T loops). Further hydrogen bonds mediate the characteristic L-shaped molecular structure. tRNAs have two regions of fundamental functional importance: the anti-codon, which is responsible for specific mRNA codon recognition, and the 3' end, to which the tRNAs corresponding amino acid is attached (by aminoacyl-tRNA synthetases). tRNAs cope with the degeneracy of the genetic code in two manners: having more than one tRNA (with a specific anti-codon) for a particular amino acid; and 'wobble' base-pairing, i.e. permitting non-standard base-pairing at the 3rd anti-codon position. The record is from RNAcentral. Lineage: Bacteria; Bacillati; Actinomycetota; Nitriliruptoria; Euzebyales. RNAcentral also lists the same sequence under 1 other name.
GGGGGUGUAGCCCAACUGGCAGAGGCGCGCCGCUUAAAACGGCGUCCAGCGUGGGUUCGACUCCCACCGCCCCCA